CCCCCAUAGUUCACCACACCUGGAACGGUGGGUGGAUGAAAGCUCCGGCGGCAUAGGAUGGGCUGCGGCGUAUCAGGUUGUAGGGGGUGUAAUGUACCCUCUAGCCAUCUACGCGUACGGGUGUUGAGAGACAUCGCCCGGAGAUGGAUUCUGAGACACGAAUCCAGACCCUACGGGGUGCAGCAGGCGCGAAAACUUGGCAAUGCGAGCAAUCGUGACCAGGGAACUCCAAGUGCAUCGGGUAAGACCGAUGCUUUUCUUGACUCUUCAAAGGUCUUGGAAUAAGGGGUGGGUAAGGACGGUGCCAGCCGCCGCGGUAAUACCGGCGCCUCAAGUGGUAGUCGCUUUUAUUGGGCCUAAAACGUCCGUAGCCGGUUUGGUACAUUCGUGGGUAAAUCUAGACGCUCAACGUCUUGAAUUCUGCGAGCACGGCCAGACUUGGGACCGGGUGAGGUGUGGGGUACUCUCAGGGUAGGGGUAAAAUCCUGUCAUCCUGAGAGGACCACCUGUUGCGAAGGCGCCACACUAGAACGGAUCCGACGGUCAGGGACGAAGCCUAGGGGCACGAACCGGAUUAGAUACCCGGGUAGUCCUAGGUGUAAACGCUGUGGACUUGAUGUUGGGAGUGCUCCGAGCGCCCUCAGUGUCGAAGCGAAGGUGAUAAGUCCACUGCCUGGGGAGUACGGUCGCAAGGCUGAAACUUAAAGGAAUUGGCGGGGGAGCACUGCAACCUGAGGAUUGUGCGGUUUAAUUGGAGUCAACGCCGGA
RNAcentral lists this ribosomal RNA (768 nucleotides) under uncultured euryarchaeote. RNAcentral describes it as "bacterial SSU rRNA". It matches the Rfam family "Archaeal small subunit ribosomal RNA", at positions 151 to 922 of the family's 1478-position model. Lineage: Archaea; Methanobacteriati; Methanobacteriota. The record is from RNAcentral.